GAUGAAGAACGCAGUGAAAUGCGAUAACUAAUGUGAAUUGCAGAAUUCAGUGAAUCAUCGAGUCUUUGAACGCACAUUGCGCCCCCUGGUAUUCCGGGGGGCAUGCCUGUCCGAGCGUCAUUGCUGCCCUCAAGCACGGCUUGUGUGUUGGGCUCCGUCCCCCCGGGGACGGGCCCGAAAGGCAGCGGCGGCACCGAGUCCGGUCCUCGAGCGUAUGGGGCUUUGUCACCCGCUCUGUAGGCCCGGCCGGCGCCAGCCGACAACCCAUCAUCCUUUUCAGGUUGACCUCGGAUCAGGUAGGGAUACCCGCUGAACUUAAGCAUAUCAAAAGCGGAGGA
This 338-nucleotide unclassified non-coding RNA is filed under the name soil metagenome. Its description in RNAcentral is "partial contains 5.8S ribosomal RNA, internal transcribed spacer 2, and large subunit ribosomal RNA". The stretch from base 1 to 120 matches the Rfam family "5.8S ribosomal RNA", at positions 35 to 154 of the family's 154-position model. The record is from RNAcentral.